This 274-nucleotide ribosomal RNA is filed under the name uncultured bacterium. Its description in RNAcentral is "partial 16S ribosomal RNA". It matches the Rfam family "Bacterial small subunit ribosomal RNA", at positions 523 to 796 of the family's 1533-position model. The record is from RNAcentral.
AUACGGAGGGGGCUAGCGUUGUUCGGAAUUACUGGGCGUAAAGCGCACGUAGGCGGAUUAAAAAGUUAGAGGUGAAAUCCCAGGGCUUAACCCUGGAACUGCCUUUAAAACUAGUAGUCUAGAGUUCGAGAGAGGUGAGUGGAAUUCCAAGUGUAGAGGUGAAAUUCGUAGAUAUUUGGAGGAACACCAGCGGCGAAGGCGGCUCACUGGCUCGAUACUGACGCUGAGGUGCGAAAGCGUGGGGAGCAAACAGGAUUAGAAACCCCAGUAGUCC